RNA transcript from Pomacea canaliculata, 1299 nucleotides. It is a transcript of the gene named zinc finger SWIM domain-containing protein 7-like, with no coding region annotated. Lineage: Eukaryota; Metazoa; Mollusca; Gastropoda; Architaenioglossa; Ampullariidae. The transcript has 5 exons. The record is from RefSeq and is a predicted model, not a curated record.
CGUGGCCAACAUCUGCACUGCUCUCUAGGUCACGUACGUCAUUACUGUGUCAGAUUGGUAGCAUGAGCAGUACAGUACCAGAUGUGGGCAACUGCUGCAGUUGUAACUCCUACCAUGACGGAACUGUUGCGAACGAAAGAUGGGAUUAAAACGAUUUUUUGUAAACUUUUUGACGAGGCUGAGAGAGCGUUCACAGACAAAGGAAGAGUAACAGAGGAUAUUCUUACUGCUCUCCAAUCAGUCUUUCCUUCCUCUCUACUACCUGCUUGUGAGCUAGUGGACAAAGGAGCUAUCACUAGAGUAGUUUCCCCUUCUAGAAGUGGCAUCUAUCAGGUUUAAACCCUUGUAUUUAGUAUCCAAAUUGAUUACAUACAGUUGUAUUUACUUUGCUGCUCAAGUAUAGUAUCUGCCGAGGGGAUCUUCUGACCUUGGAAUUUUUUUUAGUUUGUUGAGUUAGAUACAUUAUGAGCCUAGGUAUUUACAUGCAGAUUUUAUGAGCCAGCAUUAUUGGUUGCAGAAAUCAGAUUUAACUGCAUUUCACAUUGCUGAUUUAUACAUUGCAUCUCACAGGUAGUUGGCGCAUCAGGUGUGAUAUACACUUGCUUCGAAUCAAGUACAUACUGUUCUUGUCCAGCUUAUAGAUUUUCAGUGCAAGCAUCAUCUUGCUAUGAGGUUGUCCAACAUUACCAGAAAAACCAAGGUUACAAAUCUUACUGAUCAACAGAUGGCACAGCUUCUUUCCUCUCUGGGUUAAAUUCCACAAACUUGAUAUGAGCUCACCAGUUAGUGGAAAGUAAUGCCACUGGUAUGUGGAAUGAAUUACAGAUCAUAAAAGAAAUGCUUACAUUUCAUCAAACUAUAUAGAGGAAGAAAUUCUGUAUAUGUUAAGUUGGUGUGUUUAUGCAUCCACUUGUGCAUGACUAUGAGCUUAAGCCUAGAGUUAACAGUGAAUUUUUAACCAAUACAAGAUGCCACCUGUACAUGCUUAACCUACACAAGAUAAUACAAGUGCACGAGCAUAAGCUUAACUGUUUAAGUGUUGGUGCUGUCAGGGCUUGAGUUUUUCUUGAUUAUGUUAUUUCCAUGAAAUGUGAGAUAUCUGCCAUAAGCAAUUGUAAAUGGACUCUUAAGAUCGUGUGUAUUGUGGAUCUCUCUCUUUUUUUUUUUUUAACUCAAUGUCUUCUGUAUAGACCAGUUAGUUCCAUGAUAGAAGUAAUCUGUACAGUUCAGUGUUAUAUCUGCUCCAUCUAGUAAUAUUUUGCUUAGCUGGCUGUUCUAGAAAUAAAGUUUGCAAAUUGU